GAUGAACGCUGGCGGCGUGGCUAAUACAUGCAAGUCGAGCGAACAGACGAGGAGCUUGCUCCUCUGACGUUAGCGGCGGACGGGUGAGUAACACGUGGAUAACCUACCUAUAAGACUGGGAUAACUUCGGGAAACCGGAGCUAAUACCGGAUAAUAUAUUGAACCGCAUGGUUCAAUAGUGAAAGACGGUUUUGCUGUCACUUAUAGAUGGAUCCGCGCCGCAUUAGCUAGUUGGUAAGGUAACGGCUUACCAAGGCGACGAUGCGUAGCCGACCUGAGAGGGUGAUCGGCCACACUGGAACUGAGACACGGUCCAGACUCCUACGGGAGGCAGCAGUAGGGAAUCUUCCGCAAUGGGCGAAAGCCUGACGGAGCAACGCCGCGUGAGUGAUGAAGGUCUUCGGAUCGUAAAACUCUGUUAUUAGGGAAGAACAAAUGUGUAAGUAACUAUGCACGUCUUGACGGUACCUAAUCAGAAAGCCACGGCUAACUACGUG
This 497-nucleotide ribosomal RNA is filed under the name uncultured bacterium. RNAcentral describes it as "partial 16S ribosomal RNA". It matches the Rfam family "Bacterial small subunit ribosomal RNA", at positions 28 to 507 of the family's 1533-position model. The record is from RNAcentral.